Molecule: ribosomal RNA, 300 nt
Filed under: uncultured Rickettsiales bacterium
Lineage: Bacteria; Pseudomonadati; Pseudomonadota; Alphaproteobacteria; Rickettsiales
Description: bacterial SSU rRNA
Rfam family: Bacterial small subunit ribosomal RNA
Source: RNAcentral
UACAGAGGAAUCUACCUAGCAGUACGGAAUAACCCUGGGAAACCAGAGCUAAUACCGUAUAUUACCGAUUUAUCGGGAAAGAUUUAUCGCUGUUAGAUGAGCCUCUGCCGGAUUAGCUUGUUGGUAGGGUAAUGGCCUACCAAGGCGAUGAUCCGUAGCUGGUCUGAGAGGAUGAUCAGCCACACUGGAACUGAGACACGGUCCAGACUCCUACGGGAGGCAGCAGUGGGGAAUAUUGGACAAUGGGCGCAAGCCUGAUCCAGCAAUACCGCGUGAGUGAUGACGGCUUUCGGGUUGUAA